Molecule: microRNA precursor, 101 nt
Filed under: Marmota monax (woodchuck)
Lineage: Eukaryota; Metazoa; Chordata; Mammalia; Rodentia; Sciuridae
Source: RNAcentral
AGAGAGGAAAAAGAAGAAGAAGAAGAAGAAGAAGAAGAAGAAGAAGAAGUUCUUCUUCUUCUUCUUCUUCUUCUUCUUCUUCUUCUUCUUCUUCUUUUCCU